UUGCUUAGGCAGCACAUACACUAAAAUUGGUGUGAUACAGGGAAGAUUAGCGUGGCCCCUGCAGAAGGAUGACUAGCAAAUUCACAAAGUGUUCCGUAUUUUU
Trichechus manatus latirostris (Florida manatee) is the source of this 103-nucleotide small nuclear RNA. Lineage: Eukaryota; Metazoa; Chordata; Mammalia; Sirenia; Trichechidae. The record is from RefSeq and is a predicted model, not a curated record.